Long non-coding RNA from Chinchilla lanigera (long-tailed chinchilla), 1799 nucleotides. The record is from Ensembl. Lineage: Eukaryota; Metazoa; Chordata; Mammalia; Rodentia; Chinchillidae.
CUUAAUAUCAAUUAAGCCUAUCUAAUUAGACAUAACUUGAGCAGCUUGGACACACUGAAAUACAGUGAGUGGGGUCCUGUGAUGAUAAGUAGGAUUUUGGAAGAGUUUGAGGGGAGAAGAAAUGGGAAGAAGUGAGGGUUUAGGGUCCAGGCAGGUGCUGCCCUGAUGCAAGUGCACCAGCUGUGAUGACAUCACCUUCUCCCCUCCUCAGCACCCACAGGAAAGGUGUCACAAUCCCUGUGCACAGCGCAAGCUCUGAUUACAGAAACAGGAAUUCCAGUGCGGAGAAGAGGGCACAUAACCUGCCACCUACACCCACGGAAUUCCAGGCACCUCUGGCACGGGAUCCAUUUCAGUCGUUACAAAGCAUCUUUCCUCCUUCCUGGGAAGGAAGCAGUGACCCCACCCAAGAAUGUUGAGGCUCAGUUCUGGGACAAGGGGAGAGGCUGGUCCUGUGCACUCCAGCUCCCAAGCUUGGAAACUCCUGUGAAGCUCAGUCAGAGCUCCUGCAACAGAGAGCCCUUUGCCCAUCACCAAAACCUCAUGCUCAGGAGAGAUCCCUGGCCUGUGGCAUCCCUUCUGAUUUCCAAGGCAGCACUGGAGCAAGGCUGGCUCUGGGGACCUUGGUGCUCCUUGAACAUCCACAGAAGUCAGGAGCCACUGUGCCGUGAAAUCAGCACCAGAUCUGCCGCCAGCCCCACACGGCCAGGAUAUGAGUCCAAGAUACGAGUGGCAGUGGGGUUUGAAUGGCAAAGAAGAAGCUGCACUCAAACUUCUCCGGCUGACCCCAUCUCCCUUUGUGCCUGGCUGCUUGCUCCCAGAGGAUUCCCGGCUUGUGGGAGGAACAGGAGUGGCUAGGGGACGGAAGGUAUCUUCCUCUCCCUCCGCCUCUCCCUUCAUUAAAGAUGUCACCUCUCAUUUACUUUGAAGGGUUUAAGUGCUGUCCUGAGGUGCCCAUCUUGACACCUCCAGAUUUUUCUCUGUUAAGAACUUGAAAAAUAUGCAAAUGCUCUGUAUGGAGCCAGGCACACUUUUCCUUUAAUGGGUUGGUUCUGAUGAAGACUGAUUAGACUCUAAAGUAGCUGGUUUUCUCCAGCACUGGGCCCAUUAUCAUCCUUCUGCCUUAAAUGAGACCUGCUGUAUUUCAAACCUCUGCCGAGGGAGACUGCAGUGGAGAUGGCUUAUUACAACAAAUUACCCUGAGCCAGCUCUUGUACAACAUGAGCCCCAGGUGAGUGCCCUCGGGAGCCCCAGCUUCAGCUGCCUCUGCUGUUGGGCACAGCCAGUUGGGUCCGGGUGGCCUCAUCCACAGGCUGCCUCAGAGCAAAAUCACGUUGUCAGCUUUCCAAGGGGGCCAGGAGUUGACUGCAUGAUCCACAGCGUGCUGCUGACAGCCGCACUCCUGAGGUGCUCAGCAACUUGGGAUGCAUGGUCCCCUCUCUGUGAGAUGAAAACUCGGAGGCCCAGAGCAGUUAAAUUCCUGGUCCCUCGCACAUAGCUGGCCUGCAGUAAAGAUGGGAUUGGAAGCCUAAAUCUAGAGACUUGUGGUCUUCAGUCCAUGGGGACUGAAGCCUUGAGCAAGGCCACCUGGACUUUGGGCCAUUUCCACCUCUCACCCAGCCAGGUAGAAUUGGAGACCAGCAGAGUGCACACUUGGUGGAAGGUCCCCUAGGAAAUCACGCAGACUUCCAGCCCUCAAUUGGUCCCUCAUCCAGGACAGGGAGGGCUGUACCAGCCUCUGGAUCCUGAAAAGGAUGGAAUAAAAAAAGGCCAUGCCCUGAGUAGAGUCAGUGACGGGC